RNAcentral lists this ribosomal RNA (164 nucleotides) under Musa balbisiana (Balbis banana). Its description in RNAcentral is "5.8S ribosomal RNA". Lineage: Eukaryota; Viridiplantae; Streptophyta; Magnoliopsida; Zingiberales; Musaceae. The record is from RNAcentral.
UGGAUGACUCUCGGCAACGGAUAUCUCGGCUCUCGCAUCGAUGAAGAACGUAGCGAAAUGCGAUACCUGGUGUGAAUUGCAGAAUCCCGUGWACCAUCGAGUCUUUGAACGCAAGUUGCGCCCGAGGCCAUCCGGCUAAGGGCACGCCWGCCUGGGCGUCACGC